This 465-nucleotide ribosomal RNA is filed under the name Vreelandella stevensii. Its description in RNAcentral is "partial 16S ribosomal RNA". It matches the Rfam family "Bacterial small subunit ribosomal RNA", at positions 338 to 795 of the family's 1533-position model. Lineage: Bacteria; Pseudomonadati; Pseudomonadota; Gammaproteobacteria; Oceanospirillales; Halomonadaceae. The record is from RNAcentral.
CCUACGGGGGGCAGCAGUGGGGAAUAUUGGACAAUGGGGGCAACCCUGAUCCAGCCAUGCCGCGUGUGUGAAGAAGGCCCUCGGGUUGUAAAGCACUUUCAGUGAGGAAGAACGCCUGGUGGUUAAUACCCAUCAGGAAAGACAUCACUCACAGAAGAAGCACCGGCUAACUCCGUGCCAGCAGCCGCGGUAAUACGGAGGGUGCGAGCGUUAAUCGGAAUUACUGGGCGUAAAGCGCGCGUAGGUGGCUUGAUAAGCCGGUUGUGAAAGCCCCGGGCUCAACCUGGGAACGGCAUCCGGAACUGUCAAGGUAGGGUGCAGGAGAGGAAGGUAGAAUUCCAGGUGUAGCGGUGCAAUGCGUAGAGACCGGGAGGAAUACCAGUGGCGAAGGCGGCCUUCUGGACUGACACUGACACUGAGGUGCGAAAGCGUGGGUAGCAAACAGGAUUAGAUACCCUAGUAGUA